This 443-nucleotide ribosomal RNA is filed under the name uncultured bacterium. RNAcentral describes it as "partial 16S ribosomal RNA". It matches the Rfam family "Bacterial small subunit ribosomal RNA", at positions 338 to 795 of the family's 1533-position model. The record is from RNAcentral.
CCUACGGGCGGCAGCAGUGGGGAAUCUUGGGCAAUGGGGGAAACCCUGACCCAGCAACGCCGCGUGAAGGAAGAAGGCUUUCGGGUUGUAAACUUCUUUUCUUAGGGACGAAGAAAGUGACGGUACCUCAAGAAUAAGCCGCGGCUAACUACGUGCCAGCAGCCGCGGUAAUACGGCGGUGGCAAGCGUUGUUCGGAUUAAUUGGGCGUAAAGGGGGUGUAGGCGGUAAUGCAAGUCAGAUGUGAAAACCCAGGGCUCAACCCCGGGCCGGCAUAUGAAACUGUUAGACUUGAGUGCUGGAGAGGCAAGCGGAAUUCCGGGUGUAGCGGUGAAAUGCGUAGAUAUACGGAGGAACACUAGUGGCGAAGGCGGAUUGCUGGACAGUAACUGACGCUGAGGCACGAAAGCGUGGGGAGCAAACGGGAUUAGAUACCCGAGUAGUC